Molecule: long non-coding RNA, 184 nt
Organism: Lycium ferocissimum
Lineage: Eukaryota; Viridiplantae; Streptophyta; Magnoliopsida; Solanales; Solanaceae
Exons: 3
Source: RefSeq, a predicted model, not a curated record
CCUUCAACCCAACAACCUCAAACUGGGUUUAAUCCCAGUAGAAUGAUUGGUAUCAUCAGAAGGAAGGCAAUGAUAAAAGACCUAGCUGCUAUAUACCAUGCAGAGUGCCUUGCAUAUUGUCAAGAACUUUUGGAACUUCAAAACAAAGUGGAAGAGUCAUUAAUUGACAUGAAACCUGCAGAAG